UACGUGAGGGGCGAACGUUGUUCGGUGUCACUGGGCUUAAAGGGCGCGUAGGUGGCUGCGUAAGUAAGGUGUGAAAGCCCUCGGCUUACCCGGGGAAUUGCGCCUUAUACUGCGUGGCUUGAGGAUCUCAGGGGAAGGGGGAACUCCGAGUGUAGCGGCGAAAUGCGCAGAUAUUCGGGGGAAGGCCGGCGGCGAAGGCGCCCUUCUGGGAGAUUCCUGACACUGAGGCGCGAAAGCGUGGGGAGCAAACAGG
Molecule: ribosomal RNA, 253 nt
Filed under: uncultured bacterium
Lineage: Bacteria
Description: partial 16S ribosomal RNA
Rfam family: Bacterial small subunit ribosomal RNA
Source: RNAcentral